Molecule: ribosomal RNA, 473 nt
Filed under: Micromelo undatus (miniature melo)
Lineage: Eukaryota; Metazoa; Mollusca; Gastropoda; Aplustridae
Description: Micromelo undata (miniature melo) partial 16S ribosomal RNA
Rfam family: Archaeal large subunit ribosomal RNA
Source: RNAcentral
UCGCCUGUUUAUCAAAAACAUAGCCUAAAGUAUUUAUUUUAGGUUUAGCCUGCCCAGUGUAAUUUUAUUAACGGCCGCGGUACUUUGACCGUGCUAAGGUAGCAUAAUCAGUUGACUUUUAAUUGAAGUCUGGAAUGAAUGGAUAAAUGGGGGUCAGCUGUCUUCAUAAAAUUUUAUUGAACUUACUCUUAAGGUGAAAAAGCCUUAACUUAAUAAAAAGACGAGAAGACCCUAGGAGCUUUAUAAUUAUUUUGUUGGGGCGACAAGGGAAAAUAUAUAGAAUAAUCUUCCCUUAAUGAUUUUCUACACAAGACGAGUAUCUAAGAAAGAAAAAGCUACCCUAGGGAUAACAGCAUAAUUUAUUAAUUAAGAUUGUGACCUCGAUGUUGGACUAGGAAUUAGAUAGGUGAGCAACCUUUCUUAAUGGUUCUGUUCGAACUUUUUCUCCUACGUGAUCUGAGUUCAGACCGGAU